GACCUCGUAGCUCAGUUGGCAGAGCAUUGGACUAGAAUCCCAGAGGUCGCGGGUUCGAUUCCCUCCGUGGUCA
RNAcentral lists this transfer RNA (73 nucleotides) under Paramuricea clavata. It matches the Rfam family "tRNA". From Rfam's summary of the family: Transfer RNA (tRNA) molecules are approximately 80 nucleotides in length. Their secondary structure includes four short double-helical elements and three loops (D, anti-codon, and T loops). Lineage: Eukaryota; Metazoa; Cnidaria; Anthozoa; Malacalcyonacea; Plexauridae. The record is from Rfam by way of RNAcentral.